GACGAACGCUGGCGGCGUGCUUAACACAUGCAAGUCGAACGGAAAGGCCCUGCUUUUGUGGGGUGCUCGAGUGGCGAACGGGUGAGUAACACGUGAGUAACCUGCCCUUGACUUUGGGAUAACUUCAGGAAACUGGGGCUAAUACCGGAUAGGAGCUCCUGCUGCAUGGUGGGGGUUGGAAAGUUUCGGCGGUUGGGGAUGGACUCGCGGCUUAUCAGCUUGUUGGUGGGGUAGUGGCUUACCAAGGCUUUGACGGGUAGCCGGCCUGAGAGGUUGACCGGCCACAUUGGGACUGUGAUACGGCCCAGACUCCUACUGGAGGCAGCAGUGGGGAAUAUUGCACAAUGGGCGGAAGCCUUAUGCAGCAACGCCGCGUGCGGGAUGACGGCCUUCGGGUUGUAAACCGCUUUCGCCUGUGACGAAGCGUGAGUGACGGUAAUGGGUAAAGAAGCACCGGCUAACUACGUG
This 468-nucleotide ribosomal RNA is filed under the name uncultured bacterium. Its description in RNAcentral is "partial 16S ribosomal RNA". It matches the Rfam family "Bacterial small subunit ribosomal RNA", at positions 28 to 507 of the family's 1533-position model. The record is from RNAcentral.